Molecule: long non-coding RNA, 1329 nt
Organism: Passer domesticus (house sparrow)
Lineage: Eukaryota; Metazoa; Chordata; Aves; Passeriformes; Passeridae
Exons: 3
Source: RefSeq, a predicted model, not a curated record
GGAUAAAAGGCUGGGCUGGGGGACAAGGUGAGCAGAUGCUGGCAGCCUUCUGAAGUGACAGGGUGUUGCUCUGUGUGGGCAGACUCCAGAGGCCUUCUGAUGAGUCAUGAAAUCACAGAUGUCUAUGGUGCACUGCCAUGUGUGAGACUCCCUCUGACUACAGCCCACACAGGAUCUGGAGAAGAUCCUACCUACAGCUGCCAGCCUGGGCAGGUUGAAUUUUGCAACCCCCAGCACUCCUUCAGAACUUUUAGUCCUGCCUUUGGCAAGACUUCUGAGCUGUGACUCUGCUGUCCACCUUUAAAACUGGGACAAGGAUGCUCUUGAGGUUGCAUUAAGAGUAGAGACAUUCAGAAAAUUCCAGCUGAAACUGGAGCCCAUUUCAGACAGUGCUCACUGUCUUUUGUGGAAAGUUAAGCACAAAAAUCAGACGUAGGCACAGUGGUCAAUAGAAGAUGUGAUCAGGCUCUGCUAUAAUCUCUGUAAGGAAGAUGAUGCUGUUCUCCAGGCUUCUUAUUUCAUAUCAUCCUUUUGAUCCCACUUCCUCCUAAUAAUGUGUUUUGUUAGCUAGCAGUGCUAAUUAUUAUGGCAUAAAGUUGAAUGACCCAAACCAAGGAGUUCAAGUGCAGCUUGAUGGCAGAAAAUAAACAAGAAAGCAUGGCAGCACAACUGAAAAGGCAGUGGGCGGCUCUUCAAAAGUAUUUUUAAAACUGAUAUUGCCAUGCUGCAUUCAUUCAGCAACUUAAAGGACAAUCCUCUUCAGCCAAAUAUUAUUCUGGCAGGAAAACUGAAGGAGUAAGUUAAUAAAUCUAGCAGUGCCUUUUGAAGAAUAUUUGCUAACACUCAUGUCUCGUCCGUACACCACUCUCUCGAUUUAUACUCCUGGCUUCUGUUUGUCCCACAGAAUGAACAGUAGGGUUAAAAGCAGUAGCAGGCCAGUAGUCAGAACCUGGUACAGCACCAGGAUGAUGCGAGAUGCCAGCUCCCACACCUGCAGGAAGAUGCCCUGCUCAGCUGCUGGCAGCCCAUCAAAGCUGUGUCCCUUCUUUUGUGUGGCUGUGGCAGCCCUGAAGCACACACGGCGCAAAACCCACCGUGCCCUGAUCCCUCCUGUGCCCUGAUCCCUCCUGUGCCCUUCAGCACGGUCACCACAUGGUUCUGCAUCCAUGCAGAUGUAGCUGUCUCAUUGUGUCAUUUACUCGUGUCGUGUUUGAUACAUCCAAAUUUGUCAAAUGCCAGCCGCUGCCUUUGGAGUCAUCCAAGGACUCGGACUCGAGCUUAUGCCUGAGUGUGUGACAAAUCAAGCAGCAGAGAUGGUGAGGGCUCGUU